CCUACGGGAGGCAGCAGUGGGGGAUAUUGCACAAUGGGGGGAACCCUGAUGCAGCGACGCCGCGUGGGUGAAGAAGCGUUUCGGCUCGUAAAGCCCUAUCGGCAGGGAAGAAAAUGACGGUACCUGACUAAGAAGCCCCGGCUAACUACGUGCCAGCAGCCGCGGUAAUACGUAGGGGGCAAGCGUUAUCCGGAUUUACUGGGUGUAAAGGGGGCGUAGACGGGAAAGCAAGUCAGAUGUGAAAGCCCGGGGCCCAACCCCGGGACUGCACUUGGAACUGUUUGGCUGGAGUACAGGAGAGGUAGGCGGAAUUCCUAGUGUAGCGGUGAAAUGCGUAGAUAUUAGGAGGAACACCCGUGGCGAAGGCGGCCUGCUGGACUGUAACUGACGUUGAGGCCCGAAGGCGUGGGGAGCAAACAGGAUUAGAUACCCUGGUAGUC
RNAcentral lists this ribosomal RNA (440 nucleotides) under uncultured bacterium. RNAcentral's name for it is "partial 16S ribosomal RNA". It matches the Rfam family "Bacterial small subunit ribosomal RNA", at positions 338 to 795 of the family's 1533-position model. The record is from RNAcentral.